Molecule: ribosomal RNA, 677 nt
Filed under: Weissella cibaria
Lineage: Bacteria; Bacillati; Bacillota; Bacilli; Lactobacillales; Lactobacillaceae
Description: bacterial SSU rRNA
Rfam family: Bacterial small subunit ribosomal RNA
Source: RNAcentral
UUUUAUUAUGGCUCAGAAUGAACGCUGGCGGCGUGCUUAAUACAUGCAAGUCGAACGCUUUGUGGUUCAACUGAUUUGAAGAGCUUGCUCAGAUAUGACGAUGGACAUUGCAAAGAGUGGCGAACGGGUGAGUAACACGUGGGAAACCUACCUCUUAGCAGGGGAUAACAUUUGGAAACAGAUGCUAAUACCGUAUAACAAUAGCAACCGCAUGGUUGCUACUUAAAAGAUGGUUCUGCUAUCACUAAGAGAUGGUCCCGCGGUGCAUUAGUUAGUUGGUGAGGUAAUGGCUCACCAAGACGAUGAUGCAUAGCCGAGUUGAGAGACUGAUCGGCCACAAUGGGACUGAGACACGGCCCAUACUCCUACGGGAGGCAGCAGUAGGGAAUCUUCCACAAUGGGCGAAAGCCUGAUGGAGCAACGCCGCGUGUGUGAUGAAGGGUUUCGGCUCGUAAAACACUGUUGUAAGAGAAGAAUGACAUUGAGAGUAACUGUUCAAUGUGUGACGGUAUCUUACCAGAAAGGAACGGCUAAAUACGUGCCAGCAGCCGCGGUAAUACGUAUGUUCCAAGCGUUAUCCGGAUUUAUUGGGCGUAAAGCGAGCGCAGACGGUUAUUUAAGUCUGAAGUGAAAGCCCUCAGCUCAACUGAGGAAUUGCUUUGGAAACUGGAUGACUU